This 463-nucleotide ribosomal RNA is filed under the name uncultured bacterium. RNAcentral's name for it is "bacterial SSU rRNA". It matches the Rfam family "Bacterial small subunit ribosomal RNA", at positions 32 to 507 of the family's 1533-position model. The record is from RNAcentral.
AACGCUGGCGGCGUGCCUAACACAUGCAAGUCGAACGAGAUCCAUGGGAGCUUGCUCCCGGAAGAUCUAGUGGCGAACGGGUGAGUAACACGUGAGAAACCUGCCCUGGGGUGGGGAAUAACUCGGGGAAACUCGAGCUAAUACCGCAUACCCUCGGAUGGUCGCAUGGCCGACCGAGGAAAGAUUUAUCGCUCUAGGAGGGUCUCGCGGCCUAUCAGCUAGUUGGUGGGUAACGGCCUACCAAGGCAACGACGGGUAGCUGGUUUGAGAGAACGAUCAGCCACACUGGGACUGAGACACGGCCCAGACUCCUACGGGAGGCAGCAGUGGGGAAUCUUGCGCAAUGGGCGAAAGCCUGACGCAGCAACGCCGCGUGCGGGAUGACGGCCUUCGUGGUUGUAAACCGCUUUCAGCAGGGACGAAAAUGACGGUACCUGCAGAAGAAGCCCCGGCUAACUACGUG